Molecule: ribosomal RNA, 1459 nt
Filed under: uncultured bacterium
Lineage: Bacteria
Description: 16S ribosomal RNA
Rfam family: Bacterial small subunit ribosomal RNA
Source: RNAcentral
AGAGUUUGAUCCUGGCUCAGAGUGAACGCUGGCGGCGUGCCUAAUACAUGCAAGUCGAACGAUGAAGCUCUAGCUUGCUAGAGUGGAUUAGUGGCGCACGGGUGAGUAAUGCAUAGAUAACAUGCCCUUUAGUCUAGGAUAGCCAUUGGAAACGAUGAUUAAUACUGGAUACUCCUUACGAGGGAAAGUUUUUCGCUAAAGGAUUGGUCUAUGUCCUAUCAGCUUGUUGGUGAGGUAAUGGCUCACCAAGGCUAUGACGGGUAUCCGGCCUGAGAGGGUGAACGGACACACUGGAACUGAGACACGGUCCAGACUCCUACGGGAGGCAGCAGUAGGGAAUAUUGCUCAAUGGGGGAAACCCUGAAGCAGCAACGCCGCGUGGAGGAUGAAGGUUUUCGGAUUGUAAACUCCUUUUGUUAGAGAAGAUAAUGACGGUAUCUAACGAAUAAGCACCGGCUAACUCCGUGCCAGCAGCCGCGGUAAUACGGAGGGUGCAAGCGUUACUCGGAAUCACUGGGCGUAAAGAGCGCGUAGGCGGGAUAGCAAGUCAGAUGUGAAAUCCUAUGGCUUAACCAUAGAACUGCAUUUGAAACUGUUAUUCUAGAGUAUGGGAGAGGUAGGUGGAAUUCUUGGUGUAGGGGUAAAAUCCGUAGAGAUCAAGAGGAAUACUCAUUGCGAAGGCGACCUGCUAGAACAUAACUGACGCUGAUGCGCGAAAGCGUGGGGAGCAAACAGGAUUAGAUACCCUGGGUAGUCCACGCCCUAAACGAUGAAUGCUAGUUUGUUGUGGAGCUUGUCUCUGCAGUAAUGCAGCUAACGCAUUAAGCAUUCCGCCUGGGGAGUACGGUCGCAAGAUUAAAACUCAAAGGAAUAGACGGGGACCCGCACAAGCGGUGGAGCAUGUGGUUUAAUUCGAAGAUACACGAAGAACCUUACCUAGGCUUGACAUUGAUAGAAUCCGCUAGAGAUAGUGGAGUGCUAGCUUGCUAGAACUUGAAAACAGGUGCUGCACGGCUGUCGUCAGCUCGUGUCGUGAGAUGUUGGGUUAAGUCCCGCAACGAGCGCAACCCUCGUCCUUAGUUGCUAACUAUUCGGUAGAGCACUCUAAGGAGACUGCCUUCGCAAGGAGGAGGAAGGUGAGGAUGACGUCAAGUCAUCAUGGCCCUUACGCCUAGGGCUACACACGUGCUACAAUGGGAAGCACAAAGAGAUGCAAUAUUGUGAAAUGGAGCAAAUCUAUAAAACUUCUCUCAGUUCGGAUUGUAGUCUGCAACUCGACUACAUGAAGCUGGAAUCGCUAGUAAUCGUAAAUCAGCUAUGUUACGGUGAAUACGUUCCCGGGUCUUGUACUCACCGCCCGUCACACCAUGGGAGUUGUAUUCGCCUUAAGUCGGAAUGCCAAACUGGCUACCGCCCACGGCGGAUGCAGCGACUGGGGUGAAGUCGUAACAAGGUAACC